GACGAACGCUGGCGGCGCGCCUAACACAUGCAAGUCGAACGAGCGAGAGGAGGUUUACUUUCUCAAGCGAGUGGCGAACGGGUGAGUAACGCGUGAGGAACCUGCCUCAAAGAGGGGGACAACAGUUGGAAACGACUGCUAAUACCGCAUAAGCCCACGACCCGGCAUCGGGUAGAGGGAAAAGGAGCAAUCCGCUUUGAGAUGGCCUCGCGUCCGAUUAGCUAGUUGGUGAGGUAAUGGCCCACCAAGGCGACGAUCGGUAGCCGGACUGAGAGGUUGAACGGCCACAUUGGGACUGAGACACGGCCCAGACUCCUACGGGAGGCAGCAGUGGGGAAUAUUGCACAAUGGGGGAAACCCUGAUGCAGCGACGCCGCGUGGAGGAAGAAGGUCUUCGGAUUGUAAACUCCUGUUGUUGAGGAAGAUAAUGACGGUACUUAACAAGGAAGUGACGGCUAACUACGUG
Molecule: ribosomal RNA, 466 nt
Filed under: uncultured bacterium
Lineage: Bacteria
Description: partial 16S ribosomal RNA
Rfam family: Bacterial small subunit ribosomal RNA
Source: RNAcentral